GCACGGGUGCGUAACACGUAUGCAACCUACCCUAUACAGGCGAAUAACCUUUAGAAAUGAGGGCUAAUACGCCGUAGUAUUACAGAUGGGCAUCUAUUUGUAAUUAAAGAUUUAUCGGUAUAGGAUGGGCAUGCGUCCCAUUAGUUAGUUGGUAAGGUAACGGCUUACCAAGACGAUGAUGGGUAGGGGAUCUGAGAGGACUUACCCCCACACUGGUACUGAGACACGGACCAGACUCCUACGGGAGGCAGCAGUAAGGAAUGUUGGGCAAUGGCUGCGAGGCUGACCCAGCCAUGCCGCGUGCAGGAAGACGGCCUUAUGGGUUGUAAACUGCUUUUAUACGGGAAUAAUAGAGUGUACGCGUACAUUUAUGCAAGUAUCGUAUGAAUAAGCAUCGGCUAACUCCGUGCCAGCAGCCGCGGUAAUACGGAGGAUGCGAGCGUUAUCCGGAUUUAUUGGGUUUAAAGGGUGCGCAGGCGGAUUUAUAAGUCAGUGGUGAGACACUCCGGCUCAACUGGGGGACUGCCAUUGAUACUGU
RNAcentral lists this ribosomal RNA (538 nucleotides) under uncultured bacterium. Its description in RNAcentral is "bacterial SSU rRNA". It matches the Rfam family "Bacterial small subunit ribosomal RNA", at positions 100 to 636 of the family's 1533-position model. The record is from RNAcentral.